UGAGGAAUAUUGGGCAAUGCCCGAAAGGGUGACCCAGCAACGCCGCGUGGAGGAUGAAGGUCGUAAGAUUGUAAACUCCUGUUAGAGGGGAAGAAUAACUAAGUUUGGAGCUUAGUAUGACUGUACCCUCAGAGAAAGCCCCGGCUAACUACGUGCCAGCAGCCGCGGUAAUACGUAGGGGGCAAGCGUUGUCCGGAUUUACUGGGUGUAAAGGGCGCGCAGGCGGAAUGGAAAGUCAGUGGUGAAAUCCUACAGCUUAACUGUAGAACUGCCUUUGAUACUUUCAUUCUUGAGUUCGGGAUAGAGAGACGGAAUUCCAGGUGUAGUGGUGAAAUACGUAGAUAUCUGGAAGAACACCAGUUGCGAAGGCGGUCUCUUGGUCCGAUACUGACGCUGAGGCGCGAAAGCGUGGGGAGCAAACA
Molecule: ribosomal RNA, 422 nt
Filed under: uncultured bacterium
Lineage: Bacteria
Description: bacterial SSU rRNA
Rfam family: Bacterial small subunit ribosomal RNA
Source: RNAcentral